AGAAAACCCGGAAGCAUUUGGCGUGCGGCAGAGCAGCCCUACAUUCCCACAGCCCCCUGAGCACCUGGCAUGGGUCCCCCAGCCCCCAUCUUCCAGGGUCAGCAGCAUCAUCCACACUGUGGCCAUACCCUUGGACUGUGAUUUGUCUGUUCUUACAUGGAGCCUCCACAAGAGUUGCGUUUGAUUGUAAGAGCCGGAAGGACAUGCUGACGCAGAAAAUAGUGAUUCAGUUUAAGAACCCACUAUGUGGAGAUUUACUCGAGCUACUAAGACUCUCCGUUGGCAUUUGGGACAAUCACACAUGGAAGGAACUAGGACCUCACUCAGGAUUCGGCAAAGGAAUGAGUCUGUGGAAUGGAGGUGGUCUUGGCAGUGACUGCAGAGAAGACUUUGAAAAUUGCGAAGCCCAGGUGGAGUGACUGGGUCUACAGUUGUCCCUGUAUGUACCAUUGCCAUAAGACUAAUGACAAGAAUCUUCGGUCACCUGUUGUCAGAUUUGCAUGUUAAACAUUAUUCUCCUUCUAUGUAGCCUGGCUUCCUUUCAGGCCAAACCUAAUUAUAUUUGAGCUCCUGGUUGGCAGAUGAGCUUCAUAGGAUGUUGCAUCUAAAAGGAACUGCAGAUUCAGGGAACAUGGAGUCCAAUCUGCUUAUUUUACAGAUGAGGAAACUGGGUCUCGGAAGGGUGUGGUAUGCUUAUGGUAUGUUUUAAAUGAAUGUGCAAUACAGUAGGAAAUGCUCCUUUGGUCACUUUUCAUUGAAUUUGGGAGUGAGGAAGCUUUAAAUCCAAAUAAUUUUCAAAAUAUUUUUAUUAUGACUUAGGUUAAAUGUUAUCAUGGCUAUCAGAUCAGAAAUUAUAAUGGAAAUGGAUAAGAAAGUCUAAUGGCUAGCUCUUGUGUUAUCUGACCACGCUAUCUAAUAGCAUGCAUUUAAGAGUGAUCACAUCACAAAAUCUAGAAGACAAUGCCAUGCCACAUGCAGUUAAUCUUUUUGAUAAUAAAGAGAAAGGACAAUACCUUCGAAGGCACCUGAGUCAGCUUUCUAGGUUUCUGAUCCCUUCCAGAAUAAAUGAAAACCUAAUAUAUAAAAAAACUGUAAAAAGGAUUUAAACAUUUAAUUCACAGAAAAAAAUUAAAUUACCAAUAAGCACAUGAAAAGAUAAGCAAAUUGACUCAUAGUUGAAGAAAUGCAAGUCAUAUCAUCAGCAGACAUACCUUUUCUCACUUGCAGAAUUGUCAAAAAUGUAAACAGGUGAUAGCCAGUGUUAGGAAUGCCAUGGGGAAAUAAGCACUAAAUACACUGUGGCUUGGAGCAUAAAACAAUGUGACAGUGCGCCUCUACAUUUUGACAGUAUCUUGACAAUAUCUCUCAAAAUUCAAGAUGGACAUAUCUUUUGUAAACCAAAAAUAAUAAAUUCUAAGGCCCCUCAACCAUCUGAAUGGACUCCUCCUCUUGGCCAAAGGCAUUCCAAAGUUAACCUGAAAAAACUAGUUCAGGGCAUAAUGACCAGGGGGAGCUGGACAUGCUUCAUUAUACCUCCUCCUCCUUGGAAUUACUGAUAGAACAGACUCUCUCAGUCUGAUAAGAAGCAUUUGCAGCCUAUUAUCUCUGAAGCCUGCUACCUGGAGGCUUUGUCUACGUGAUAAAACCUUGGUCUCCACAACCCCUGAUCUAACCUGGACAAUCCAUUCUACUGAUAAUAACUUUCAACCAACUGCCAACCAGAAAAUCUUUAAAUCUAUUUAUAACCUGGAAGGAGCCCCCUGCCCCCGCACAUGAGGAAUGUGAUCCCCACAUACGAGGAAGCCACUUAGCAAGUCAUGUUCUUCCAAAAAAAAAAAAAGGAUUAAUAAACUAUAAUAAGGUAAAUGCCCCUAUAAGCCCC
Macaca mulatta (Rhesus monkey) is the source of this 1882-nucleotide long non-coding RNA. The record is from Ensembl. Lineage: Eukaryota; Metazoa; Chordata; Mammalia; Primates; Cercopithecidae.